GAAGGUAUGGCUCAGUGGUACAGCACAUGUUUAGCAUGUAUGAAGCUCUGGGUUUGAGCCCCAGCAUCACA
Molecule: transfer RNA, 71 nt
Filed under: Marmota monax (woodchuck)
Lineage: Eukaryota; Metazoa; Chordata; Mammalia; Rodentia; Sciuridae
Description: tRNA.Ala
Rfam family: tRNA
About the family: Transfer RNA (tRNA) molecules are approximately 80 nucleotides in length. Their secondary structure includes four short double-helical elements and three loops (D, anti-codon, and T loops).
Source: RNAcentral